GAGCGGAGGAAGGGGAAGGCGGUGGUCGUCGUUCGAGUGGCCUCCUCAGGGUCAGAGUUGAGAAGGGGUGGUGGCUGCUCCUGCCUCCUCCGGAUCCUAGGGCCUGGACCAGCUUGUUCUGAUGCACUGGGUCGCGGUAGCAGAUAAACCAUGGGAACAGCUCUCCUUCCCUCUGCCUUUGAAUUUGUGUGGGGGGCCAGUGUGAGCAGUGAGUGCCCUCACCGGAUGCCCAGGUCCCAGAUGGGUCGCGUUGCACUGGCUCCUCCAAUGUGACUGUCAGGUCUGUUUCCUCUUCGCGACCCCACCUCGCCCCCCACCCCCCAGGUCGCUAGGGGGGCUGCAGCAGGCACAUUUCUGCCCUGCCUGUUUGGGAGUCCUGGCAGAGCCUUCUUGCAGGUCACAACCCGCCUUCUUGGGGGUUCCAGCUUGAGGGGGAGAGGGGGAGCAGCAAGGUCUCAAAUAUGCCCCUGAGGCUUCUGCUUGCCGUCCUGAUUCUCUGCAACUGAGCCUGUGGGGCAGACCCUUGGCUCUGGUCCCUGGGCAGCUCCUCUCGGUUGGUUGUCCCCACUAACACACACAGAUCUCAUACUUGGGUGGAUGAUGGAUAAGGUUGGUCCCUGGGGAAACGCUAGAAAUUGGAUCACUUGGUCUACCCAGUCUUGGAUAGUGAACGGAGCCUCCUGUGUGGACGGAAGCCCAAGAGGGUUGGACCAACCUCCAGCCCAGCCCUGGGUCCAGGUUGAGGUGGGUUUCAUCAUUAAAUGCUUCCUGCAGGUAAGGUUCCAGCUGUCCCCACUCCCAGGAGCAAGCUGUUAGGCUGGGUCCUGUCCACUUCUCUCUGGGUCUGUCUGUUACCUCCUGAGUACCCAUCAGCCCUUUGCCCUGGAUUUUGGACUCCCCAGGCCUUACCUGCAGGUCUUGAGCACAGCUAGUUCUGGACCUAUUCUAUCUGCCUUGUUAGAUCAUGUCCACCCUUCUUGGAGCCUGCUCUCUGUGGCUCCCCCAGCACAAGAGCCUUCAGGCUUCUUAAGUAAGUGGACCUUGUAGGUGCAUAUGGGUUCCAUGUGGAGCCAAACCCCUGCCUAUGUAUUUCAGUAAAUUCUAAGGAUUGCCCUUGGAGUCACCUCCAUGCUCCUCACAGACCGCAAACAUAGCUCCAAGGAUCCACUGCUGUCAGGGUUGGUUUGUGCAUAUAUGUGUGUGUGUGUGUCACUGCAGAUAGGCUGUUCUAGAAUCCACUUGGGCUGCAGUUCCAGCUACCAGAGGUACAGAAUUUCCCAGCCAUUCCACAGCCCCUGGUCACUCACACCCUCCUGGAGGCCUGUGGUCUGCCUGUCUCCAUUCCCCUCCUCUUUACCACUGUGCACAUGCAGCCUUGUACCUUCUCCCUAACUCAGCACCCAAUAUGCACUUUUUCAACAGGGUAUCUCUGCUCCCUAGGAUCUGAUCUUUAUUUUCUUGCAGCCCAAGCUGACCUUCCCAAACUCAUUCUCCUCAUAGUUCUUGAAAGUGUUCCCUCUUUUCAGCUCCUGUAAUUGGCCCCACUUCCUCCUACAAGGUGUUCUGAGUCACUCUUUAUCUGCCAACCAAGGAAUAGUCAGUUCACCGGUAGUUAAGGACAAGCCCUGUAGAGACUGAGUUGCACUGGCGGAAACACUGGGCAUGUGGAUCUAAAUGGCACAUGAGUCCUUCCAGCGCUGCUCCCAGGAGUCCCUCACUGGCAUAAGGCCUAUUGUUAAGGUCAUUUAGGACCACGUCUUCUAAGCAGCACCCACAGAGUGUCACCACUGUGGUACCCUAUUCCCGGCCCAGCUCUGACCUCCUAUUGUCCUCUUGGUCAGAACCAAGAAUUUCCUCCUCUGCUUCAGGGACCCCAAAGCAGGUGCCUCAGAGGGUCCUACUCCCCUUCCUCACUUUCCACCUUGCUCUGCCUCCAACCCUGUUUCUGGCUCACAUGCUCCCCACCCUCCUGCUCUGGUUAUCUCUCCAGAAUCUCUGAGCUCCUUCCACUGGGCCAGAACCCUCUCUCAGAAUGUCAAGCUCUUGAACUCCCACCUCCUCCAAGAAGCUUUUUUGAUAGAUUGGAAGGGACCUAAUACUCUUUCUGACUUCAGCCUUUCCAGCCUUUUCCCAUCAGCAACAGUGGCUACAUAACAACUUGGUUAAGGGCUGGGCUCUGGGUCUAAGAUGUGCAAGAUGGAUAUGGAUGGAAUUUUAAAGACAAGCAGACAAGCUAAUCAAAGAGAUCCAGAAAGAGUAACAACAUUGCUGUUGUAUAUAAGCCGGUGGCAUUGAGAGCUGAGAGGGAGGGUUAUUAUGUUUCUGCAGGGGGAGCCCAAGGGGAAUAAGCCUAGUGAAACCAGAAAGACUUCAUGGAGGAGGUGGGCUUCAUAGAAGGUUGGUGGCUUUCCCACAUUUGCAAGUGUACUCUUCUGGUUAGGUUAUGUUUGGGUUCAUAUUCUGAGAUUCAUCUAUCUUCAUUAUAAUAGUAUCUCUGUGUUGCUUCUCAUCUCUCCAUCUCCCUUAUGUUCCUCUGGGGCAGUGCUGGUUGUGUCAGACUUCCUUAGAUGGGAAAGCCCCUGAGGCCAGUCUCCUUGUCUGUCUUCAUUGCUCUGUAGGUUACCUAGAACAGUGCCUAUUCAGAUUACUGGUUAUUCCUGAAGGUUCUUUAAGGCAAAUACUCUAGGCCCAGACCAAGAACUGGAGGGCCUAGACUGAGGUUUUAGCCUGGAUAGGAUCUGGCCUUAUUGAUGAGUGCAUCCCAUCAGAUUCACCAGAGAUGCUCCUCUCACUCACCCAACCUGGGCAGGUGGGCCCCAUCUUUUAAGAGAACAUCUCCGGACAAUGCUGCUCACACUUUGCCUCCCUUUUGCUCUUCUUAUCUCCCUUCUGAGAAGCCAUAGUCUGGGAGGCAGGACACGGGAGUCCUAGUCUAUGGCUGCCAGUUGUAUGACCUUGGGGAAGUAAUUUCAGCUCUCUGGGACUCGGUUUCAUCAUAUUAAAAUGCAAGGGUUCUACGGAUUUGACUCUUAUUAUCAGAUAAAAAUGAAUAUUAAAAGAACAAGAUAACAUUUUAGGAAUUGGACUAGAGGAGGAUUCCUAAAGCCUCUUUCAACUCCACAGUUCUGAUUCUAAACAAAAUCUGUCCUGUGAAUCUGUUUCACUCUCCAGCUCCAGCCCUGUCUGCUUCUCCCUAAUCUGUUUCUGUCUGAUGGGCUCAGUCUUUGUGUGCACAGCAUCCAUGUGAGGCCUGCACUUCUGCGGUUCACCCCAGGAGAUGAAGGGGAGGGGAGCUUAGGCUCUCAGCAAUGUAAAUCUCCCUAGGUCCCUCCAAGCUUUAGAGGGGCCCCUGAAAGGUGAGAAGGCAAAGAAGAGGAGGGCAAGAUGGCUGAGGCCCAGGAUAUCCCCAGUAAACAUCAAAGGCCCCAGAAACCAAGGUCAUUGCACCUCCCUGUAGGGGCCCCUACAAGGAGGCUAAUGAUGACACAGGUUCUUAAAACAGCCAGGAUGGAGACCCAGCCUGGGCAUCUGAGUGCCUGGAUCCUGCUGCCCCCCCCCCCACCCUGGCACCCCCAACUCCCUUGCCCAUCAGUCUCAGCUCCUGAGGUGUGCAGAGGGGGUGGGUAUGCACGAGCCCAGACUUCUCUCCCUCUCCUGAGGACCUUACCCCAGGGGAGAAGUGGGUGGCUAAAACAAAGGAGGGGAGCAGAACCCCUCUACAGAUAACAGUGGAGGGGGGAGGGGGUAAGCAGAGAGAAGAGAGGAAUUGACAGAGGAGGUGCUGCUAGCUGUCAGGAGGGAGACCCAAAUUCUCAUGUCUUCCCAUUUCGCAGGCUGUUUGCUAGAAGGACUUAAUUAAGGAGCCCAAAUAUAGUUUCUUUUGAACAGUGAAUAGGGCUGGGAGCACAGAUGAGGAAUGUGAUGCUCUGGGGUGGGGAGAGAAGGGACCAAUGCUGAGAUGCUGGAGGGCCCAGGGUGAAGGGGACAGAGAAGACAGGGGUGAGCUGGUGACUCCUUUUCCCUGCCUUAAGCUCUGCUGCUUUCCUUGAUGGAAGGGGGGCCAUUUCUUCCUUUCCCAUCCUCUGUCCUGAUCUCCCUCCAACUCCCUGGCUCCUGCCUUCACCUCCUUUACUGUCCCCUGAGAACAGCUCUCUCUGUCCAGUCCUCCCAGCACUCACCAGAAGCUUUAAGUCUUGGUUCACCUUCUGCCUCCACCAAGCCCCCUUUUUGCCUCCUCCCUUUCGUCCCCCACUCCUUCUCCUCCCAGGCCCCGCUGGCGCCCAGCAUAGCACUACAGAUGUAGGAGCAGAUCAAGAAGGGUGGGGGUGGUAGCUGUUGCUUUUCUGGGAUAUUCUUAGCCUGUCUGGGGGCUGGAGCUGGAAUCAGCGUUUCCAUCUCAACCAGGCAGGUGGCUGCCAGAAACUGCCACUGUGACUGGGUCUUCAUCUGGUUCCAUAUCCCUUAUCCUGUCCCUUCCUCCUCUAUAUUGAUUUCAUCGAUGAACACAGACCCUCUGAGAGUCCAGCCUUCCCACCCUUGUGCCCUAGAUGGAAGGUUUCCUCUGCCUAUCAGGCAUAGCCCCAGGAAGGUGUGCAAACCUCACUGGAGGCUCUGCGGGGAAAGAAGGGCCUUCGAGAACUCUAGCUCAGAUGCUCCCUAGAGUGGAACACAGCCCUCUCCUCUCUGCCCCCAGGCCCUCUUCUUUCAUCUGCCCCCAGCAACCCCUGCAUGGUACUCAGUCCCCAGACUGUAUUCACCACCAUGAAGGCCUUUCUUAUCUUGAUUUACAGGAAUCACUCAGGGGCCCUAGAGUUUCAGAAGCUGCCUCCUGAAAGCGGCUGAACCCUGGAGUCCAGGCCUCCUUUGGGCCAGAACAAGGGGCUCACUGACCCAGAUCUCUCCCCACAUCUUUUUUUUUUUGAGACAAAGUCUCACUCUUUUGCCCAGGCUAGAGUGCAGUGGCAUGAUCUUCACUCAUUCCUGGGCUCAAGGGAUCCUCCCACCUCAGCCUCCCAAGUAGUUGGGACCACAGGCAUGCAUCACCAGGCCUGGCUAAUUUUUGUACUUUUUGUAGAGAUGGAGUUUCACCAUGCUGCCCAGGCUGGUCUCUAACUCCUGGGCUCAAGCAGUCUGCCCACCUCAGCCUCAAAGUGUUAGGAUUACAGGCAUGAGCCACCUCGCCCAGCCUUCUCAGAUGCCCUUAUCAGUAGAGGGAGGGGCAAAGAAGAAAUCUCACUCAUUCACAAAUCGCACAAAAAAUGUUUGUCACCUUAAGAGGGACAGACAGUGCAGGGUCUCCUAUGUGGGUUCUGAGGUCAUUCGGUCUAUGUUCAAAUCCAGCCCCUCCACUUAUGACCUGGGGCCCUUGGGGCAAGUUUCUUAAUUCUUCUGAGGUCUAUAAAAGUGGACCAUACAAGGUGCAGUAGGAAGAGAUCACCAUCCACAGUCGGGCUGAGGCUGAAAGCACGUACCAGAUCAAGUAUGAGGAGCUGCAGACGCUGGCUGGGAAGCAUGGGGAUGACCUGCGUUGUGCAAAGACAGAUCUCCGAGAUGAACCAGAACAUCAGCAGGCUCCAGGCUGAGACUGAGGGCCUCAAAGGCCAGGGGGCUUCCCUGGAGGCCGCCAUGCAGCGGGCCAAGCAGGACAUGGCACGCAGCUGGGUGAGUACCAGAAGCUGGCCCUGGACAUCGAGAUCGCCACCUACAGGAAGCUGCUGGAGGGCGAGGAGAGCCGUCUGGAGUCUGGGAUGCAGAACGUGAGUAUCCAUAAGAAGACCACCAGUGGCUAUGCAGGUGGUCUGAGCUCAGCCUAUGGGGGCCUCACAAGCCCUUGGCCUCAGCUACAGCCUGGGCUCCAGCUUUGGCUCUGGCGCCGGCUCCAGCUCCUUCAGCUGCACCAGCUCCACCAGGGCCAUGGUUGGGGAGAUCGAGACCCACAAUGGGAAAUGGGAAGCUGGUGUCCGAGUCCUCUGACGUCCUGCCCAAGUGAAUAGCUGUGGCAGCCCCUCCCAGCCUGCCCCUUCUGUGGCUGCCCCAGAGUCCGGGAGGGAGGCCACUGUGCAGGGGAGCACAGGGAAUGGGAGACCCACCUGAGGCUCAGCCCUAGCCCUCAGCCCACCUGCAGGGGAGUUUACUGCGUGGGACACCUCCUUUGCCCAUAUCUCCAGCUACAAAACAAUUCCGUUUUUUCCCCCCAAAAUAAAACUUCAGCUAGUUCUACCAACUGGCAAAAAAAAAAAAAAAAAAUGGACUAUCAUCAUAAGGUUGUAAGAUUUUAUUUAAUCAUGCAAUGCUCAACAAUGCUUGUAUAUCACAUGUGCAUGGUGUUCAUAAAUGUUAAUUGUUAACAAAUUAUACUGUCAUCAUUAUUUUUACAGAGCAGGAGGAAAGCUUUGCCUGACCCGUGCCAUUAGCAUUUUUUUUCUCAUUAGAACAUUUUUCAUUAAAGGGCCAGGGUGGUACUAUCAUUUCUUUUUGUUUGGUUUCUGAAACCCAAAUUUAUAUCUGUGCUUUCCUCUCAGAUACUGUGCUCAUACCCACUGCUACUCAGACUGUUCCUGGGGGUGGUUUGAUUUGCUUCCUAGGGUCAUAAAGACCGACAGCAUAUUAGGCACUGGUCCCCUUUUCUGGUCCUGUUGCAGGCCACUUUAAUUUUCUGAAGCUCUGAAUAUUAAUUCUGGGCCAGGUUCCAUGCUGGCCCCAAGUCCUGACCGUGCUUUCUGGGAGCUGUACUCUGGCUACUCAUUCCACACCCCAUGGUCUCCCCAAAGCUCCAGAGACUCUAUGGAGAGUCAAUUCUGCUUUUCAAGGGCUUUGAGGAAAAUGUUCAAUAAGAUUAUUAAACCACAUGAGCAGAUACUAUUUGAGAAACUGUAGCCUACACAGUACUGGGCUAGGUGGUGGGAACACAAAAAGGUGUGAGGUAGGGCUCCAGCCUUCAAAGAAUGUACAGCAUAGGUGGCAGAGAUAUGAAAAAUAGUGAGAAAUAGCAAUAAAAUGAUGUGUCCUAGGGCCAGUUACAGAUAAUGGGAUUUGAUGACUCGGCUAAUCCUGCCCGCCCCCCUCCACCUUCCACCAUCACAGCUAAUCCAUCUCCAGCUUGUCCUAAAUUCAUAUGCACACAGAGUUAGAAUCCAUUUUUUUUUUUUUUUUUUGAGACGUAGUUUCGCUCUUGUUGGCCAGGCUGGAAUGCUAUGGCGUGAUCUCGGCUCACCGCAACCUCCACUUCCCAGGUUCUAGCGAUUCUCCUGCCUCGGCCUCCCGAGUAGCUGGGAUUACAGGUAUGUGCCACCAUGCCUGGCUAACUUAUUGUAUUUUUAGUAGAGAUGGGGUUUCACCGUGUUAGCCAGGAUGGUCUCGAUCUUCCGACCUCAGGUGAUCUGCCUGCCUUGGCCUCCCAAAGUGUUGGGAUUACAGACGUGAGCCACCGUGUCCGGCCAGAAUUCAUUUUUAACUGGGGUCUGGCUCCUGCACCUGGAACUGUGUUUGCUCCAGUGCAUGGCCUUCCUUGUCCAACCCCAGGCUGUGAUGAUAAGCACUGUUCCCAAGGUAGAACCAGGCCUCAGCAACCCCCUGCUCACAGUGACAAAGGGUCCUACCCCCUCUGCAUGAUAAGGGUUAUGAGUAACUUCUGUGUGAAGAUCGUGGUAGGUCUGCUUACUGCUCCGACGUCUUAGACAGGGGCCUUUUGUUGACUUCCUAUUUGUCCAGAAUUGGGGGCGGGUGGGGGAUGGGCUUCAAAGCAGGUUCAUUAAUUUACACUUGCCUCUGUCUGGUUCCUAAAUAUAAAGACAAUUCUUUAUGUUGACCUCCUUUGAGUAAAAAGACAUUCCUAAUUUAUAAGCUAGAGCCCCACAUAUACUUGCUUUUGAGUAGGGAGCAGAGGCGGGUAAGGUCGUCCACUAGAUUACUGGGUCCUAAACUACUCUGCCCAGCAGAACCACCUGGGGAAUUUUGUAAACAUAUAAUUUCCGGGCUCUACCUCAGACCUAUGGAAUCAUAAUUUCUUUUUUUUUUUUUUUAGGCGGAGUUUCAUUCUUGUUGCCCAGGCUGGAGUGCAAUGGCAUGAUCUUGGCUCACCACAACCUCUGCCUCCCGGGUUCAAGCGAUUCUCCUGCCUCAGCCUCCCAAGUAGCUGGGAUUACUGGCGCAGGCCACCAUGCCCAGCUUAUUUUGUAUUUUUAAUAGAGACAGGGUUUCUCCAUUUUGGUCAGGCUGGUCUUGAACUCCUGACCUCGUGAUCAACCCGCCUCAGCCUCCCAAAGUGCUGGAAUUACAGGCGUGAGCCACCACGCCUGGCCUGGAAUCAUAAUUUCUUUGAGUGGGCUCAAGAUGAAAUCCCUGUAAGAAAAAAAUUAAAAGGGAGGAGAAAACUCUAGGAAAUGGCUGGGUCCCACCUGUUCUUUCUGGAGAGCACCACUGUUGUCUCUCUGGCCAAGCCUCCCGCCCCACCACUCCAUGGUAGGAAUACCCUAACUUCCUCCUGGGAAACCACUUCUCCCACAUUCUCAAUCCAUGUGGCUUACAUGGGGCUAAGCCCUCCACAAGACAUAGAUUAAAGACAUAGACUUUGCCAGCUCCCAUCCUAGUGACAAGGGUUCAGGGAGGGGCUGGUAACCCAAAUCAGGCCAAUGAGACUCAAUUCUUGGAGUUUUAGAGAAACUGUUGGGAAAGAGAGGCUUUCCUUCCUCUGAGGUUGUCAAGCUGGUGGAAUGAAAGCCUUGAUCUGCUGGUGACUCUCUUGUCCCCACAUGGAGAAAGGCCACCUGAAGUCAUGCACAGGAAAGCAGAGUCAACAGAUGGGGGGGACAGAUUCCUGACAUAAUUUUAGCCCCUAGAUCCAGCUAAACCUGAUACAGUUGUAUGACGCCAUAAAUCCACACUGCCCCCACCCCCUGACCUUUUUUCUAAUCUUAAGGUAAUUUGAGUUGCAAAUCUAAUUCUUGCAAGCAAAAAUAUCCUGAUGAAUGGAACUUCCUGCCUGGAGAUUUUCCUUGUGGAAAUUUGUAACUUCAGGGGCAUACAUGUUUGGUCUGAAUAAAUGAGGAAGGCAGUCCCUGAUAUCUGGUUGUCAGUUAAUGACAAAAUCUGGAAGAGGCACUGUGGACCACAACCCGGGUUCUGAUCCUCUCAAACCUCCCAGUCCAAACCAUAGCUGGUGUUUGGAGUUCAUCAGCUUCCAAGGACCCUUCCUUAAAGGAAAAGUCAUUUCCCUGAGGCCUGCACAAUUGUCAAGUCUUUCGGGGCUGCUGCAAGACUGCAUUCCUUAGGUAUCAGCUUCCUGCUCAAAUAAGAGAUUUGAUGCUUUACCGUCCAUCAUGCUUCUGAAUCACAUUUGUCCACAACAAGUGUAAUAGGCAGCUGUAGGCACACAGAGCCGCUUGUUAUCAUCAGGGCUAUUAGCACAGUGUCUCUGGAGAAAUGGGGACAGAGGUGGGUUUGAGCUUUAAGCUGCCUGAGUUCUUGUUGGCUAAGACUACAGGACCUCUUGUCUGGACUGCCUUUGGGGAGCUUUCUCAAAGGAGUGAUUGGGGCUCUGAUCAAACCACAAUUACCUGGUUACAGCAUGGUUCACACCUGCCUUUUAAAGAAACUCCAAGGCUAUUUUCAAGUAGUUUGUGUAUUAUUCUGCAAUGGGACAAUGUUUUUCUAUCCCACCUGGUGGAAUUCAAUGGGUAAUUGAACAUCCAGUCAUAAUUCAUCUUUUCAUUUUUUCCAUUCAUUCAUUUACUCGGUACAAAUUUGUACGAGGAACUGUCUUUUAACUUUUUUUUUUUAAUUAAAUCUGACUUUUAGACGAAUCCUAUUGCAGGUGGAAGGUUAUGCUGUCUUAGUUGGUAUGGAGACUUUGUUCUCCCUCCAAAGACUAUACAUUUCCAGAAAAUGGACAUUUCCAGAAAAUUUCCUAUUUUAAGGCCGAUUAAUAACUUUAAUUACAUCUGCAACAAUCUCUUUCACCAUAUAAUGUAACAUAAUUAUGGGAGUAUCAUGGGGCAAAAAAACCAUGGAGGCCAUCUUAGAAUUCCAGCUGUCACUGUAUCUAUCUCUUUACCUAUCAAUUAGGAGAAAAUUCUUCAUUUUGUUGUUGUUGUUUGUUUUUAGACGAAAUCUUGCUCUGUCACCCAGGCUGGAGUGCGGUGGCAUAAUGUCAGCUCACUGCAAGCUUUGCCUCCCGGGUUUAAGCGAUUAUCCUGCCUCAGCCUCCCAAGUAGCUGGGAUUACAGUAGCUCACCACCACACCCAGCUGAUUUUUGUAUUUUUAGUAAAGACGGGAUUUCACCAUUUUGUCCAGGCUGGUCUCAAACUCCUGACCUCAGUUGAUCCACCCGCCUUGGCCUCCCAAAGUUCUGGGAUUACAGGUGUGAGCCACUGUGCCCGGCCUGUUGUUGUUUUUGAGGCAGGGUCUCAAAAACCUGUUGCCCAGGCUGUAGUGCAGUGGUGCAAUCACGGCUCAUUGCAGCCUUGAUCUCCUGGACUCAAGCAAUCCUCCCGCCUCUGCCUCCAAGGUGCUGGGACCACAGAUGUGUGUGCCACCAUGCUUGGCUAAUUUUUUAAACUUUUGUAGAGAUGGGGUCUCUAUGUUGCCCAGCAUGGUCUUGAAUUUCUGGGCUCAGGCUAUCCUCCCACCUCGGCCUCCCAAAGUGCUGGGAUUACAAGCAUGAGCCACCACACCUGGCCAGUUGUUCAUACUUUAUGUAAGUGAGACCAUACUAUAUUAAUCUAAUACUUGCUUUUUUUUUUUUUGCUUUACAUUAAGUUUGUAAGAUUUAUUUUUGUUGAUAACCUUGUUGAUUUUUAUUUUUCCUGCUGCAUAACAUUUCACUGUAUGAGUGUAGUAAGUUUUACUUAUUUGUUCUCUUGGUGACGGAUAAUUAGUUUGCUUUCAGUUUUUUAUUAUUACAAACAAUUGUGUUAUAAAUAUUAUUUUAUAUGUCUAUGUCUCUGGUGCACAUGUACAAUCAUUUCUCUAGGAAUAUGCCCAGUGGAGUUGCUGGGUUAUUGGGUAUACAUAUUCAACUUUACUAGAUCUUGCUAAAUUGUUCUCCUAAGGUGUUGUACCAACUUACACCCUGCAAUGCAUACGAGUUUCUUUUUUCUUUCUUUCAUUUUUUUUUUUUUUUCGAGAUGGAGUUUUGCCCUUGUCAUUUGUCACCGAGGCUGGAUUGCAAUGGUGCUAUCUCGGCUCGCAGCAACCUCCUCCUCCCGGGUUCAAGAGAUUCUCCGGCCUCAGCCUCUGGAGUAGCUGGGAUUACAGGCGCGUGCCACUACACCCAGCUAAUUUUUUUAUAUUUUUAGUAGAGACGGGGUUUCCCCAUGUUGGCCAGGCUGGUCUGGAACUCCUGACCUCAGGUGAUCCACCCGCCUCAGCCUCCCAAAGUGCUGGAAUUACAGGCGGGAGCCACGGCGCCCAGCCUGUGCAUGCAAGUUUCUAUGGCUCCGUAUCUCCACCAACUUGUGAUAUUGUCAGGUUUAAAAUUUUGGUCAUUCUGAUAUAUGGGCAAUAAUUCACUUUAGUGAUAUAUAAAUUUUACUUAUUCAACAAAUAAAUAUUUAUCAAGUGCCUCUACAUGCCAGGCAGUGAACAAAAUAGACAAAGUCCCUGCCCUGUAGAGUCGGAAAGGCCAACAAAUAUAUAUUUUUAGAUACUGAUAUAAGUAUUAUAUAAAAGUAUUAAUAUUAUAAUUAAUAGUUAUAUAUAUUAAUCGCAUGUGGCUUUUCCACUGGCUUACAAGACCCAGAAUGAUCUUCCCUCUGCCCUUACCACUUCAACCCCACCCCUUACUCUGUCCCCACCACACUGGCCUCCCAUUUUGGCUUUGCACUGGCUGUCUUUGUCUACUUGGAACACCCUCUCCCAGUUACAGACAAGGCUUACUUCCUCACCUCAUGCAACUCUUUGGUCAAAAGCCAUCAUCUUAAUGAGGUCUACCCUAAUCAGUCUGCUGUGGACUAUUCGUGGCCCCCAAAAUUCAUUUGUUGAGGCCUAACACCCAAUGUGAUGAUAUCUGAACACCCAAUGUGAUGAUAUUUGGGGCCUUUAGGGGGUAAUUAGGUUUAGAUGAGGUCCUGAGGGUGGGGCCCUCUGAUGGGUUUAGUGUCCCAAGAGAGCUUGCUGUCUGUCUGCCAGGUGAGUACACACAAAGCAGGCAAGCCUGGAAGAGAUCCCCCACCAGAAUCCUGCCAUCCUGGCAUCCUGACCUCAGACUUCCAGCCUCCACAACUGUAAGAAAUAAAUGUAUGUCGUUUCAGCUACCCAGUCGAUAGUAUUUUGUUGUGGCAGCCUGAGCUAACUAAGACACAAAUUGCAUCCUGCCCCUGGCCCUGCCAGUCUCUCAUCUCAAUCUCCUGUCCCCUGCUCCAUUUUUUUCUCUGGAAUUUGUGAUCUGCUAAACUACUAGAUAAUUUUAUUCAUUUAUUAUGUUUGUUUCACCACAUACAUACUAGAAUAUGAGAUCCAGAAUAUUUGUCUUUUUUGUUCAUAAAUGUAUUCUAAGUGCCUAGAAUUCAGUGAAUACUUGCUGAAGGAAUAAAUGCUGUGGAGGAGGCAGCAUUCUAUUUCAUAUAGCAUCUGGGAAGGCCUCUUUGAUAAGGUAGACAUUUCCCAACUGUUACUGGAAUUGAGCUUUUUUUUUUUUUUUUUUUUUUUUUUUUGGACAGAGUUUCACUCUUGUUGCCCAGGCUGGAGUACAAUGGCGCAAUCUCAGCUCACCACAACCUCCACUUCUUGGGUUCAAGCAAUUCUCCUGACUCAGCCUCCCAAGUAGCUGGGAUUACAGGCAUGCACCACCAUGCCUGGCUAAUUUUGUAUUUUUAGUAGAGAUGGGGUUUCUCCAUGUUGGUCAGGCUGGUCUUGAACUAUGACCUCAGGUGAUUCACCUGCCUCGGCCACCCGAAGUGCUGGGAUUACAGGCGUGAAUCACCUCGCCCGGCUGGUAUUGAGCAUCUUUUUGUGGUAUUUCUUCCUUUUGUGACCAUCUAGGAUUUCCUCUUCUAUUAACUACCUGUUCAUCUCUUUUGCUUUUUUUUUUUUUUUUUUUUGAGACAGAGUCUCGCUCUAUUGCCCAGGCUGGAGUGCAGUGGCGCGAUCUCCGCUCACUGCAAGCUCCGCCUCCCAGGUUCAUGCCAUUCUCCUGCCUCAGCCUCCCCGAGUAGCUGGGACUACAGGCACCCACCACAACACCCGGCUAAUUUUUUGUAUUUUUAGUAGAGCCAGGGUUUCACCGUGUUAGCCAGGAUGGUCUUGAUCUCCUGACCUCGUAAUCCGCACACCUUGGCCUCCCAAAGUGCUGGGAUUACAGGCGUGACCCACCACGCCCAGCUCUCUUGCUUAUUUUCUAUUGAUUGGUUUAUCUUCUCUUUUAAUUUGUAGAUUUUUUUAAAAUAAAUCUUGAAUGCCAGUCCCUUGUUAAUUACAUGUAGUUUAUAUCUUCUCCUAGGCUACAUGUUACUUUUUUAAAAAAUGGUGUCUUUUUGCCUGUAAUCCCAGCACUUUGGGAGGCCAAGACGGGCAGAUCACCUGAGGUUGGGAGUUCGAGACCAGCCUGACCAACAUGGAGAAACCCCGUCUUUACUAAAAUACAAAAUUAGCUGGGCAUGGUGGCACAUGCCUGUAAUCCCAGCUACUCAGGAGGCUGAGGCAGAAGAAUUGCUUGAACCUGGGAGGCAGAGGUUGCCGUAAGCUGAGAUCACGCCAUUAUACUCCAGCCUGGGCAACAAGAGUGAAAUUCUGUCUCCAAAAAAAAAAAAAAAAAAAAAGAGUGUCUUUUGAUGAGUGGAAGUUUUUUAUGUGUUAUGUAUCUUUUCCUUUAAGGUUUGCAUAUCUAAUUUUAGAAGUCCUUCCCUCAUUUGAAAUCAAUAUUCUCCUAAACCUAGAACUUUAAAAGGUUUUUAAAAGUUUUAAGGCUUACAUUUGUUUAUUGAAGCUAUGUGUUUUUAUUUGGGUGUGAAUUAGGGAUUUUUUUUCUUCUUAAACAAUGGAAAGCCUCUUUUCCCAGCACCAUUUAUGGAUUAGCCCUUUUUCCCACUGAUUUUCAGUGCCACCUCUCUCAUGAAUACAUUUUCCACAUUUGUGUGGUCUAUUUCUGAGCUCUUUUCUCUUAGACUUGUCUAUUUAUCUAAUCAGUACAGAACUGUUUACUAAGGCUGGGAACCCCAAGGGGCCAAGUCUGGUCUGGGUGACUCUUUGUGUAGCCUUCUUCCUAGAUAAGAGCCACACUCACUCUCUCUCUCUCUCUUUUUUCUUUUUUGAGACAGUCUUGCUGAGGCUGGAAUGCAGUGGUGUGAUAAUGGCUCACUACAGCCUCAACCUCCUGGACUCAAGUGAUCCUCCCACCUCAGCCUCCUGUGCAGCUGGGACCACAGGCAUACACCACCAUGCCCAGCUAAUUUAGAGCCACUCUCCUGAUGCUCAUUAGCAAGCCAGCCUCUGGCCCCUCCUAGGCUUGGUGAUAUCACCCCUCACCUGUCGCAGCUCCUGCCUCUCUCUUCCCAAAAACCUCUGCAGCUUUCACUUCCCCAGCAUGAUCUUAGUUUAGGCUUUCACAAAAGACUGGAAGAGCAGUGGCCUGGAAGCAACAUCUGAAAUAUCAACUUUUUUGUGACCAGAGACACCAAGGGGGAUUGGCAAGAGGAAAAGAUGGAGUCGGAGGCUCCAGGCUCAGUCCUUGGAGCUCUUCUCUCUGUAUCCUCUUUCUAGGUGAAAUUCACCCAUAUGUUGAUGACAUUCAAAUUUACGUCUCCAACCUGGAUCUCUCUUUUAAACACCAGACCUACUUGAGAUCUCCACUUGGAUGUAUUAUAGGCAUUUCAACAUGGCCAAAACCAACUCCUGAUACUCCCUCCCCACUUGCUCCUGCUGCUGCUCCCAUCUCCGUUAACAGUAAUUCUAGUUUACUAAAUCUCAGAUGAAUGUUUUGGAGUUAUCUUUGACUCCUCUUUUUAUUUCACGCCCAUAUUUAAUGCAUCAGCAAAUCUGGAUGGUUCUGCCUGCAAAAUAUAUCCAGAAUUCAACCACUGCUCACUACCUCCUUUGCCUCCACCCUGGCCCAAGCCACCACUAUCUCUUGCUUGGUUUAUUGCAAUAGCCCCCUAACGGUUCUUCCUACUUCUUCCCUACCUGCAGUGCUUUCUCAAAAUGGUAGAUAGAGUGGUCCUGUUAAAAUGAAAGCCAGAUCAUGUCACUCUUCUGUUUAACACCCUCCAACGGCUCCCAUCUCUGGUAGAGGAAAAUCCCAAGUCUUUACUAUGACCUACAAGGGCCUAUUGGUAGAUUAAAGAUAGUCACAAAUUAUUUGACACUCUUCCCAUUGAAAGGUAUAUUGCUAUCUCCCUUUCCAUGACUUCUUUGACCAAUGAAAUAUGGCAGAAGUGGCCAGUCGCGGUAGCUCAUGUCUGUAAUUCCAGCAUUUUGGGAGGCCAAGGCAGGUGGAUCCCUGAGGUCAGGAGUUCGAGACCAGCCUGGCCAACGUGGUGAAACCCCGUCUCUACUAGAAAUAUGGCAGAAGUGCCACUGUGUCUGUUUCUGUGUCCAGGCCUUAGAAGACUGGCAUUUUCUAUUUCCUGUCUCUUGAAACACUUGCUCUUGGAACCUUCAGACACCAUGUAAGAAAUCCAGCUAUUCUAAUAGAGACCACAUGGAGAGGCCCUGAGACUACAUGGAGAGGAAGAGGGGCCUAGCUGAACCCAGCCUUCCAGCUAUCUCCCCCAGGCACCAAACAUGAGAGUGAAACCACGUGGAAUCCUACAGACCAACCCAUCUGCCAGUGAACAUCAGAGUGACCUUAUUUGAUGCUAGUAGAGCAGAAAAAAAUGCCCAGUUGAAUUUUGUCCAAAUUCCUGAUCCACCAAUUGUGAGAUACAAAAAGGUGGUUGUUUUAAGCCACAAAACUUGAGAUAGUUUCUCAUGCAGAAAUAGAGAACCAAACCAGCUAAUCCGACCUUGCCCCCUUCCAUCAUCUUCAUGACCUCAUUUACUGCCUUUUUUUUCCCUCAUGCCUCUCUAGUCAUCGCUGCUUCCUUGCAGUUCCUCAAAUCCUCCAGACCAGCUUCUGCCCAGGACUUUUGCAUGUGCUGUUCCCAGUGUACAUUCUUCCACCUGCACAUAAAUAAAGCAGUGUAAACUGUAAUUACUGUUUUGAGCCCUACUUUUUUCAGUUUAUAUAAAUCUUUCUGUUGGAAUAGUCUACUAAAACAUUUUUUUUUGAGACAGUGUCUUGCUCUGUUGCCCAGGCUGGAGUACAGUGACACAAUCAUGGCUCACUGCAACCUCACCUCCUGAGCUCAAACAAUCCUCCCUCUUUAGCCUCCUGAGUAACUGGGACUACAGGGGCGCAUCACCACAUCCAGUGAAUUUUUUAAAUUUUUUUGUAGACACAGGGUCUCACUAUGUUGCCCAGGCUGGUCUCAAACUUCUGGGCUCAAGCAAUCCUCCCACCUUAGCCUCCCAAAGUGCUGGAAUUAUAGUUGUGAGCCACUGUACGUGGCCUAAAACAUUUUUUAGUGGACACAGUGUUCAUUUGUGUGGCUAUUUGUUUUACCAACAUUUAAUUAUGAAAACUUUCAAAUAUACAGAAAAAUUGAGAGAUUUGUACAGUGAAAACACAUCUAUUUGCCACCUCAAGUCUAUAAUCAACCUUUUACUAUAUUUGCUUUAUCACAUAUCUAUUCCUCUAUCCAACUUGCUCUUUUAAAUACAUUUCAUCCUAUUCAACAUAGUACUGGAAGUCCUAGCCAGAGUAAUCAGUCAAGAGAAAGGGAAAAAAGGCAUCCAAAUAGGAGGAGAGGAAGUCAAGCUAUCUCUCUUUGCAGAUGAUUUUAUACCUAGAAAACCCCAUAGUCUCUGCCCAAAAGCUCCUAGAUCUAUAAACAUCUUCAGCAAAGUUUCAGUAUACAAAGUCAAUGUACAAAAAUCAGUAGCAUUUCUAUACACCAACAACAGUCAAGCUGAGAGCCAAAUCAUGAAUGCAAUCCUAUUCACAAUAACCACAAAAAAUACCUAUUAAUACAGCUAACCAAGGAGGUAAAAAAUCUGUCCAACAAGAGUUACAAAACACAGCUGAAAGAAAUCAGAGAUGACACAAACAAAUGGAAAAAUAUUCCAUGCUCAUGGACUGGAAGAAUCAAUAGUGUUAAAAUGCUCAUACUGCCCAAAGCAAUUUGCAGAUUCAAUGCUAUUCCUAUCAAACUACCAAGCACAUUUUCACAGAAUUAGAAAAAAAAAUAUUCUAAAAUUCAUAUGGAACCAAAAAGAGACCAAAUAGCCAACACAAUCCUAAGCAAAAAGAACAAAGCUGAAGGCAUCAUACUACCUGGCUUCUAACUAUACCAUAAGGUUACAGUAACCAAAAUAGCAUGGUAACAAAAACAGACACACAGACCAAUGGAACAGGCUUAAGAACCCAGAAAUAAAGCCACACACCUAUAAUUGUCUAUCUUCAACAAAGUCAACAAAAGCAAUGGGGAAAGUACUCCCUAGUUGCUGGGAUAACUGGCUAGCCAUGAUUGAAACUGGAUCCCUUCCUUUCACUAUAUACAAACAUCAACUCAAGAUGGAUUAAAGACUUAAAUGUAAAACCUAAAACUAUAAAAACUCUAGAAGAAAACAUAGGAAAUACAUUCUGGACAUAGGCCCCGGAAAAGAUUUUAUGAGAAGACACCAAAAACAAUUGUAACAACAUCAAAAAUUGAUAAAUGGGAACUAAUUAAACUAAAGAGCUUCUGUACAGCAAAAGAAACUAUCAACAGAGUAAACAGAUAACCUAGAGAAUGGGAGAAAUAUUUGCCAACUAUACAUCCACAAAAGUAUAAUAUCCAGAAUCUAUAAGGAGCUUAAAUCAAUAAGCAAAAACAAACAACCCAAUUAAAAAUGGGCAAAGGACAUGAACAGACGCUUCUUAAAAGAAGACAUAUAUGUGGAAAAACCAUAUGAAAAAAUGUUCAACAUCAUUAAUCACUAGAGAAAUGCAAAUCAAAAUAAUAAUGAAAUACCAUCUCACAUCCAUCAGAAUGGCUAUUAAAAAGUCACUGGGUACAGUGGCUCAUGCCUGUAAUACCAGCACUUUGGUGGUUGAGGUGGGAGGAGUUCAAGACCAGACUAGGCAACACAGUGAGACCCCAUCUCUACAAAACAAAAUUUUU
Molecule: long non-coding RNA, 18135 nt
Filed under: Homo sapiens (human)
Lineage: Eukaryota; Metazoa; Chordata; Mammalia; Primates; Hominidae
Description: non-protein coding LINC01494:5
Source: RNAcentral